Molecule: ribosomal RNA, 1426 nt
Filed under: metagenome
Description: bacterial LSU rRNA
Rfam family: Bacterial large subunit ribosomal RNA
Source: RNAcentral
GAAGGAGAGCACGAGCCGGAAAUGGAAAAGCCGGUACAAGCGUAUAGCAGUCAUGCAGGCAAAACCGCAUGAAAAAUGUAAAGCGUUAUGUGGAUCGAACAUUAGUAGAGAAGCGUGUGAGCCAGCUGCCAAGAAAAGCCGCUAUUGCUUCAUAAGUACCCGUACCGUAAACCGACACAGGUGGAUGAGGAGAGAAUCCUAAGGCCGGCGGGAGAAGUGUUGUUAAGGAACUCGGCAAAAUGACUCCGUAACUUCGGGAGAAGGAGUGCCACAGAGAUGUGGCCGCAGAGAAAUGGCCCAAGCAACUGUUUAGCAAAAACACAGGUCUGUGCAAAACCGAAAGGUGAGGUAUAUGGGCUGACGCCUGCCCGGUGCUGGAAGGUUAAGAGGAGAGGUUAGAGCAAUCGAAGCUUUGAAUUUAAGCCCCAGUAAACGGCGGCCGUAACGAUAACGGUCCUAAGGUAGCGAAAUUCCUUGUCGGGUAAGUUCCGACCCGCACGAAAGGCGUAAUGAUUUGGGCACUGUCUCAACAACACACCCGGUGAAAUUGAAAUACCAGUGAAGAUGCUGGUUACCUGCGCCAGGACGGAAAGACCCCAUGGAGCUUUACUCCAGUUUGAUACUGGGAUUCGGUACUGUCUGUACUGGAUAGGUGGGAGGCUAGGAAAUGGUGACGCCAGUUGCCAUGGAGCCAACCUUGGGAUACCACCCUUACAGUACUGGGUUUCUAACCUGCAGCCGUAACCCGGCUGGGGGACAAUGUCUGACGGGGAGUUUGACUGGGGCGGUCGCCUCCGAAAGAGUAUCGGAGGCGCUCAAAGGUUCCCUCAGAACGGUUGGAAACCGUUCGAAGAGUGCAAAGGCAGAAGGGAGCUUGACUGCGACACCGACGGGUGGAGCAGAUACGAAAGUAGGACUUAGUGAUCCGGUGGUAUAAAGUGGGAUUGCCAUCGCUCAACGGAUAAAAGCUACCCUGGGAUAACAGGCUUAUCACUCCCAAGAGUUCACAUCGACGGAGUGGUUUGGCACCUCGAUGUCGGCUCAUCGCAUCCUGGAGCUGUAGCAGGUUCCAAGGGUUGGGCUGUUCGCCCAUUAAAGCGGUACGCGAGCUGGGUUCAGAACGUCGUGAGACAGUUCGGUCCCUAUCCGGCGUGGGCGUAGGAUAUUUGAGAGGAGCUGUCCUUAGUACGAGAGGACCGGGAUGGACAAACCUCUGGUGUAUCUGUUGUUUUACCAAAGGCAUGGCAGAGUAGCCAAGUUUGGCAGGGAUAAACGCUGAAGGCAUCUAAGCGUGAAGCCCCCCUCAAGAUAAGAUAUCCCAUCUUCGGAGUAAGACCCCUUGAAGACUACAAGGUUGAUAGGCUUUGUGUGUAAGUGCGGUAACGCACUCAGCUGAGAAGUACUAAUAGGUCGAGGACUUACCAAA